Cricetulus griseus (Chinese hamster) is the source of this 108-nucleotide ribosomal RNA. The record is from Ensembl. Lineage: Eukaryota; Metazoa; Chordata; Mammalia; Rodentia; Cricetidae.
CUGUACAGCUAUACCACCCUGAACAUGCCCAAUCUCAUCUGACCUCAGAAAUUAAGCGAGGUAGUGCUUAGGUGGGAGACUGCCCAGGAAUACUCAGGGCUGUAGGCU